RNAcentral lists this transfer RNA (89 nucleotides) under Rhodobiaceae bacterium. RNAcentral describes it as "tRNA-Leu". It matches the Rfam family "tRNA". From Rfam's summary of the family: Transfer RNA (tRNA) molecules are approximately 80 nucleotides in length. Their secondary structure includes four short double-helical elements and three loops (D, anti-codon, and T loops). The record is from RNAcentral. Lineage: Bacteria; Pseudomonadati; Pseudomonadota; Alphaproteobacteria; Hyphomicrobiales; Rhodobiaceae.
GCGGACGUGGCGAAACUGGUAGACGCAAAGGACUUAAAAUCCUUCGGGGGGUAACCCCCGUGCGGGUUCGACUCCCGCCGUCCGCACCA